ACACGGGAGGCUUCUUGCAGGCUGCUAUGAACUACAAAGACGAGAGUGAGAUGCGACGGGCUCAAACCACAGACCAUGGACGAUCCCCAACUCUAGCGGCGGGAGAGGAAGGCGACUUCGGAAUUGAACUGCUGCUCCAGCGUCGCUCGCUUCUCCUCGUCCUGCUCUGGAAUCCUUACCAUCUUCACGGCCACCGCCCGUUGCUUGUAGAUCCCUCUGUAUAUCCUACUGUUGGAUCCUGAAGCAAAUUUGUUGCCGAUGAAGAGCUGUGAAAGAUCAGCCAUCCAUUCCUCUCUUUCCCCUCCCGCGUUGGCCUCGGAGCUCUCGGCAUUCCCGGGUUCCAACAGCAUCGACCACGAUUCCAAGCUGUCCCACCUCUUCUUUUCCAUGAUAUCCAUUUCGGAGGGCAAGAGGUUCCUCUUGGGCCACCGAGAAGAAGAAGGAAAAGGAGAGGAGGAGGAGAAGGAAGGAGGAGAAGUGAUCGAACCGGCCCUGCUCUUCUUGCCCAGCCUCAGGACCGGGAAGCAGAAGGCCAUUUCGACCACCGGGCUCGCCCUAGCGGGUACUAGCUGAAAGAGGAGCUGAGGCUCAGGCAAUGGAAGAAUUGCCACUGCAUCCUUGUGGGAAGAUGGCAAAGGUGGUACGUAACGUUCAUCAUCGGAUGUUUGCAAGACACGAUCUUUGGUUGGAGAACAGGUAGCCAAAUCAAAGUAACUUAGAAAUUACAGUUGAUAAGCUCAAGAACACAUGGAACUGGGGAAGGUGAUGAGUUCUAAAGAUGUCUGAGGAGAUGAGCAUGAGUUCUGACGAUGUCUGAGACACAAAACCAUAGAGAAAACUUAGUAGACAAGCCAAGCUCUGGAACGAACCAAGGCAAUGAUCUCGAACCUCGAGUAGCGAGUCGCUA
Long non-coding RNA from Musa acuminata AAA Group (dessert banana), 907 nucleotides. RefSeq lists it as uncharacterized. The transcript is spliced from 2 exons. NCBI's taxonomy places the organism in Eukaryota, Viridiplantae, Streptophyta, Magnoliopsida, Zingiberales, Musaceae. The record is from RefSeq and is a predicted model, not a curated record.